RNAcentral lists this ribosomal RNA (482 nucleotides) under uncultured bacterium. Its description in RNAcentral is "bacterial SSU rRNA". It matches the Rfam family "Bacterial small subunit ribosomal RNA", at positions 30 to 502 of the family's 1533-position model. The record is from RNAcentral.
AUUGAACGCUGGCGGCAUGCCUAACACAUGCAAGUCGAACGGCAGCACGGGAGCUUGCUCCUGGUGGCGAGUGGCGGACGGGUGAGUAAUGCAUAGGAAUCUGCCCAGUAGCGGGGGACAACUUGGGGAAACUCAAGCUAAUACCGCAUGCGCCCUACGGGGGAAAGCGGGGGACCUUCGGGCCUCGCACUAUUGGAUGAGCCUAUGUCAGAUUAGCUUGUUGUGGGGUAACGGCCUACCAAGGCGACGAUCUGUAGCUGGUCUGAGAGGACGAUCAGCCACACUGGGACUGAGACACGGCCCAGACUCCUACGGGAGGCAGCAGUGGGGAAUAUUGCACAAUGGGCGAAAGCCUGAUGCAGCAAUGCCGCGUGUGUGAGAAGGCCUGCGGGUUGUAAAGCACUUUCAGUAGGGAGGAAACAGUAGCCGGUUAAUAUACCGGUUGCCUUGACGUUACCGUACAGAAGAAGCACCGGCUAACU